RNAcentral lists this unclassified non-coding RNA (246 nucleotides) under Hevea brasiliensis (rubber tree). Lineage: Eukaryota; Viridiplantae; Streptophyta; Magnoliopsida; Malpighiales; Euphorbiaceae. The record is from RNAcentral.
AAGAUAGAGCCAAGCCAAGGCCUAACUCAUCAGUUCCUUCAAUUUCUGGCAAAGUUGAUGACGAUUAUCAUGUAAGUUUUAGAGGCUACCCUCCAAUUCAAAGCUACUCACCUCACUAUUCCACAGCUCAUCAUCAUCAUCAUGAGGUACAUAUAAAUUAUCAAGCAUUUUUUCCAGCAGCAUCUACUUGGGGUUUUAGACCCUCACAUAUCGACCAUUUGCAUGUGCAAAGCCCUCAGCUUUUGA